Molecule: ribosomal RNA, 492 nt
Filed under: uncultured bacterium
Lineage: Bacteria
Description: partial 16S ribosomal RNA
Rfam family: Bacterial small subunit ribosomal RNA
Source: RNAcentral
AGUGAACGCUGGCGGUAGGCCUAACACAUGCAAGUCGAACGGCAGCACAGUAAGAGUUUGCUCUUAUGGGUGGCGAGUGGCGGACGGGUGAGGAGUAUAUCGGAAUCUACUCUUUCGUGGGGGAUAACGCAGUGAAUCUUACGCUAAUACCGCAUACGACCUACGGGUGAUAGCAGGGGAUCUUCGGACCUUGUGCGAUUGAAUGAGCCGAUGUCGGAUUAGCUAGUUGGCGGGGUAAAGGCCCACCAUGGCGAGGAUCCGUAGCUGGUCUGAGAGGAUGAUCAGCUACACUGGAACAGAGACACAGUCCAGACUCCUAGAAGAGGCAGCGGUGGGGAAUAUUCGACAAUGGGCGAAAGCCUAAUCCAGCCAAACCGCGUGAGUGAAGAACGCCUUCGGGUGGGAAAGCCCUUUAGUUGGGCGAGAAAAACAGCAGUUUAGUACCCCGCUAUGAUGACGGUACCCGAAGAAUAAGCACCGGCAAACUUCGUG